AGGCUUAACACAUGCAAGUCGAGGGGCAGCAUGGUCUUAGCUUGCUAAGGCCGAUGGCGACCGGCGCACGGGUGAGUAACACGUAUCCAACCUGCCGUCUACUCUUGGACAGCCUUCUGAAAGGAAGAUUAAUACAAGAUGGCAUCAUGAGUCCGCAUGUUCACAUGAUUAAAGGUAUUCCGGUAGACGAUGGGGAUGCGUUCCAUUAGAUAGUAGGCGGGGUAACGGCCCACCUAGUCUUCGAUGGAUAGGGGUUCUGAGAGGAAGGUCCCCCACAUUGGAACUGAGACACGGUCCAAACUCCUACGGGAGGCAGCAGUGAGGAAUAUUGGUCAAUGGGCGCAGGCCUGAACCAGCCAAGUAGCGUGAAGGAUGACUGCCCUAUGGGUUGUAAACUUCUUUUAUAAAGGAAUAAAGUCGGGUAUGGAUACCCGUUUGCAUGUACUUUAUGAAUAAGGAUCGGCUAACUCCGUGCCAGCAGCCGCGGUAAUACGGAGGAUCCGAGCGUUAUCCGGAUUUAUUGGGUUUAAAGGGAGCGUAGAUGGAUGUUUAAGUCAGUUGUGAAAGUUUGCGGCUCAACCGUAAAAUUGCAGUUGAUACUGGAUAUCUUGAGUGCAGUUGAGGCAGGCGGAAUUCGUGGUGUAGCGGUGAAAUGCUUAGAUAUCACGAAGAACUCCGAUUGCGAAGGCAGCCUGCUAAGCUGCAACUGACAUUGAGGCUCGAAAGUGUGGGUAUCAAACAGGAUUAGAUACCCUGGUAGUCCACACGGUAAACGAUGAAUACUCGCUGUUUGCGAUAUACGGCAAGCGGCCAAGCGAAAGCGUUAAGUAUUCCACCUGGGGAGUACGCCGGCAACGGUGAAACUCAAAGGAAUUGACGGGGGCCCGCACAAGCGGAGGAACAUGUGGUUUAAUUCGAUGAUACGCGAGGAACCUUACCCGGGCUUAAAUUGCAGAUGAAUUACGGUGAAAGCCGUAAGCCGCAAGGCAUCUGUGAAGGUGCUGCAUGGUUGUCGUCAGCUCGUGCCGUGAGAUGUCGGCUUAAGUGCCAUAACGAGCGCAACCCUUGUUGUCAGUUACUAACAGGUUCCGCUGAGGACUCUGACAAGACUGCCAUCGUAAGAUGUGAGGAAGGUGGGGAUGACGUCAAAUCAGCACGGCCCUUACGUCCGGGGCUACACACGUGUUACAAUGGGGGGUACAGAGGGCCGCUACCACGCGAGUGGAUGCCAAUCCCAAAAACCUCUCUCAGUUCGGACUGGAGUCUGCAACCCGACUCCACGAAGCUGGAUUCGCUAGUAAUCGCGCAUCAGCCACGGCGCGGUGAAUACGUUCCCGGGCCUUGUACACACCGCCCGUCAAGCCAUGGGAGCCGGGGGUACCUGAAGUGCGUAACCGCGAGGAGCGCCCUAGGGUAAAACUGGUGACAGGGGCUAAGUAGU
This 1441-nucleotide ribosomal RNA is filed under the name uncultured organism. Its description in RNAcentral is "SSU rRNA". It matches the Rfam family "Bacterial small subunit ribosomal RNA". The record is from RNAcentral.